Pogona vitticeps (central bearded dragon) is the source of this 299-nucleotide non-coding RNA. The record is from RefSeq and is a predicted model, not a curated record. Lineage: Eukaryota; Metazoa; Chordata; Lepidosauria; Squamata; Agamidae.
UUAUUCUUUCUGUACCUGCAGAAGAAAAUAAAAAAUUCAUUAAAAAGAAAGAGAAAAAAGAUCGCAUGGCCAUUGUGCCUCUCUCUUGUGUGGCAGAAGAAUACAGACAAAGGAAGGAGAGAUUAAGAACCUAGACAUGGCUUCUUUCAGCUGUAGGCAUACUUGUGGCAAAGCUUACUGCAGAAUCCCUCCAAGGCUAAUGCACAAGCUUCAAUGAAAGACGUGCAUAUCAAAGGCACUAUCACCACAAUGUUAAACACCCACUGACUUUCUUACUAACCAUAUCUCUGUAUUGGCUA